AACUGCCUUGUUCUUUAAUAGUACUGUUUUAUUUAUCCCAGCACACUCUUAAUACAUGAGUUUGAUUAUUCCUGGACACAAAUACAAUGGAUUUGUUGAGGAACAAGGCAGUUCCAUACAGUACUGACUUAUAGAAGGGUUGUCUUCUUCAGUUAUUUUAUUCUUGUGUCAACCACAUUGUCAUUUAAAACAAAAUUUGAAUUUUGGAACAAACUUUCCGAUUUUUUAAAAUACUUUCCCAAAUUUAACAAACAGUUAAGGUCAAAAUAAGGUAGGAGAUUGCCUUUACUUUAUUACCAAGUGGAACUUAUUUGAAUAUGGAUGAACAUCAUGAACUGAAGCAGCAAACUAUACGUAAUUUUUUUUUUUUUGGGGGGGGAGGGAUAAUGUGAGAUAUAGAAAAUGAAAGAAAAGUGAUUGUCAUGAAUGGGAAGGAAAACCACAGCCAGACUACAGGAUGAUGUUCUUUGGAAUAUGUUUUGUAUUAUAAGGAAGCAAAAACAAUCAGCAUUCAAAAAUAUAUAUUAAUUGUUUGGCAAAGCAAUGUCAUAAUUUGGAAUAUUGAGGCUGCAGAUAAGAUUGACAGUUCUAGCUUUGUGCUAGGUGUUAAUCAAUGUAUAAUCUGAUAAGAUUUGAGUCAAAAUUCAAGCACAGAAUUAACCAUAUUUUUAGUAUUUAUCAAAAUUUGUGUGUGUUUCAUCACAGACAUGAUAGGCAAUGACUGAGAUGCUCUUUAUGUACCAAAUUUUAUAAUUUGAAUAAAAAGUUCUAUAUUUUUAAAAUUUUAUUUUGAUUUAAAUAAUCUGAC
Molecule: non-coding RNA, 808 nt
Organism: Paramuricea clavata
Lineage: Eukaryota; Metazoa; Cnidaria; Anthozoa; Malacalcyonacea; Plexauridae
Source: the annotation of a GenBank genome assembly